Molecule: ribosomal RNA, 408 nt
Filed under: Enterobacter hormaechei
Lineage: Bacteria; Pseudomonadati; Pseudomonadota; Gammaproteobacteria; Enterobacterales; Enterobacteriaceae
Description: partial 23S ribosomal RNA
Rfam family: Bacterial large subunit ribosomal RNA
Source: RNAcentral
ACCUCGAUGUCGGCUCAUCACAUCCUGGGGCUGAAGUAGGUCCCAAGGGUAUGGCUGUUCGCCAUUUAAAGUGGUACGCGAGCUGGGUUUAGAACGUCGUGAGACAGUUCGGUCCCUAUCUGCCGUGGGCGCUGGAGAAUUGAGGGGGGCUGCUCCUAGUACGAGAGGACCGGAGUGGACGCAUCACUGGUGUUCGGGUUGUCAUGCCAAUGGCACUGCCCGGUAGCUAAAUGCGGAAGAGAUAAGUGCUGAAAGCAUCUAAGCACGAAACUUGCCCCGAGAUGAGUUCUCCCUGAGACUUUAAGUCUCCUGAAGGAACGUUGAAGACGACGACGUUGAUAGGUCGGGUGUGUAAGCGCAGCGAUGCGUUGAGCUAACCGAUACUAAUGAACCGUGAGGCUUAACCUU